This 253-nucleotide ribosomal RNA is filed under the name uncultured bacterium. Its description in RNAcentral is "partial 16S ribosomal RNA". It matches the Rfam family "Bacterial small subunit ribosomal RNA", at positions 524 to 776 of the family's 1533-position model. The record is from RNAcentral.
UACGAAGGGGGCUAGCGUUGCUCGGAAUCACUGGGCGUAAAGCGCACGUAGGCGGAUCUUUAAGUCAGGGGUGAAAUCCCAAGGCUCAACCUUGGAACUGCCUUUGAUACUGGGGAUCUCGAGUCCGGAAGAGGUGAGUGGAACUGCGAGUGUAGAGGUGAAAUGCGUAGAUAUCUGGAGGAACACCGGUGGCGAAGGCGGCAUUCUGGACCGAUAUUGACGCUGAGGAGCGAAAGCCAGGGGAGCAAACGGG